GCCUAGAUGGCUCAGUUGAGCAUCUGACUUCAGCUCAGGUUCAUGGGUUUGAGCCCCAAAUUGGGCU
Molecule: transfer RNA, 67 nt
Filed under: Felis catus (domestic cat)
Lineage: Eukaryota; Metazoa; Chordata; Mammalia; Carnivora; Felidae
Also listed under: 6 other names
Rfam family: tRNA
About the family: Transfer RNA (tRNA) molecules are approximately 80 nucleotides in length.
Source: Rfam by way of RNAcentral